AAUAAUAAUUUAUAUUUAUAUAUAUAAUUAUUUAUUUAUAUAUAUAUAUAGGUUAUAUAAUUUGUAUAAGUAUAAAAUACAUGAAUUCGAGCUGUUAUCGAGCAGAAUAUGAGCGAGCUAACCUAGCUCGUGUAAAGCUGAAAAAUUUAGUUCGUAUUCGGCUCGUUCAUUAGACGGGCGAUUUGUUCUCGAGCUCAUUUCGAGCCGGACACGAAUUGACUCGCGAACAAUGAGCUGGAUUGCCACCCCUACCUACACCCACUGCGUCUGGACAUUUGUAUACGAAGAAAAUAAAAGAAGAGCGAGAAAAAAAAGUAAUAAGAAUAUUUUCGUCCGGUGACAAAAAAUUCGAUUUAAAUCUGCAAAAUUGAAAAAUAUGGUCUAAUUUUGUAAAAGUUCAAAACUCGUGGAGUUUUUAUGCAAAUUGGUCUAAUAAUAAUAAGGUUAUAUCAAUUCAGAUACUUGGAAUAUUCAGAUACUUCUAAAAUAUCUUGUCCAGAAAGUAGAUAAUAUAAUUGAUUGUUUCUUGAACCAUCAACUUUGAUUGCAAAUCAUUGGUCUAAUUAAUAAUCAUGCUCAUUGGCUUGUUUCCAAGAAAAAUAAAAUAUUCUUCGCUGCCUCGAUAUUUUAUCCUUAUAGAUUAUUAAUGUGUUAUGAUAAUAUAUCUAUAUGAUAUUAGCUAAAUUACAGAAAAUGUUUCUAUAAAUAUCUGUUUUUUUAUUUUUCCUCUUUAAUUUUUAAAAAUCUAUAUUUUGUCUCCUUGAAAUUUCAGAAAUAUUUUCAGAAGGGUACGGUGUUAAUGGAGAGAAAAAAUGAUCAAAUUGCCCUUACUUAUUCUAUAAGAAUAGAAAGAAAUUAUUUUUUAAUAUAUUUCUGUCAUUUUGAAUGACAUUUUUGAUAUAAAUUACAAAAAAUAGACGGAAUAGUGAUGGGACCUUGACAGAGGAGGACUAAAUGUAACAACUGAAAAUUUUAAGAAGGUAAAAUAUAAGUACUUUUUUCAUUUUUUCUUUCUAACUUUCAAAAACUUAUAUUUUGCUCUUUUAAAAUUUCAAAAAUAUUUUCAAGUGGUACGGUGUUAAUGGAGAGGAAAAAAUGACUAAAUUAUUCUUAUUUCUUUUAUAAAAAAAAAUUAUUUUUUAAUAUAUUUCUAGCAUUUUGAAGAGCAUUUUUGGUGUAAAUUACAAAAAAUAGACGGAAUAGUGAUGGAACCCUGACGGAAGGGAAUUAAAUGCAACAACUUGAAAUUUUAAGAAGGUAAAAUAUAAAUUUUUUAAAGUGAAAGAUAGAAAGUGAAAAAGCAAAUAUUUACAUGGGAGCUUUCUGUAAUAUAGCCUAUGAUAUUUUAGGACUGUCGUAUGAGUCAAUUAAAGGUUCGUAUAUCAUGCGUGCUAACACAUCAAUAACACAUAAAAGUAAUAGUAUCUUGAGGGAUUCUUAGUGAUAAUAAAAAACAAAACGUAAUUGUAAGGUAACUAAUUGCUUGCACGACAGCACGGUGCCAUAUAAGUACUGAAGCUGUCACACUCUGAAUCCUACAUGCUAUGAUUCGGAUCCGUACCACAACAACCGGCCAUGAAUACAAAGAAAGAAUUUCCAAAAUGGAAGAUCUUAAGCUACCGUUUGGUUCGAGGUUAAGUAAAAACUUGUUAUUUGAGGAAUAGAGUUAAGUUCAAGGUGGGGUUAGAAUAAUUUUGUGUUUAGUUAAGAAUUUGGUUUAGUUCAGGUAUAAGUAAAAUAGUAUUUGGUUGGAGUAGGUGGGAUAAAAAAGAUAGCGAGUAAAAUAAUAUUUUGUUUGGUUGGAGUAGUGGGGUGGGGUGGGACGCUACCCCCCAAAUUGGGUGUUUGGGAAUAACUUCGGGGUUAAGGAGUUAUUCCACCCCUUAACUCCGAACCAAAUGGGUGCUAAGUAGAUUCAAGAAAAACUUCAAAUACCACCCCUGUAGUUUCACACUUUUUCACUUUAGUACACUAUGAUUUAAAGUGUAUCAAUUUAGUGCUAUGUGGUUUCAUUUUUAUCUUUUUAUUAUCGAUUUCACUAAUGUUUUUCGUUAUAUCAGUGACAAAGUUAAAAUUAAAGGGUACUAAAGUGAAUAUUCGAUAAACUUAAAUGGGGUAUCUGAAAUUUUUUUGUUUAUAAUUUAACGAAAUAUUAACGAAAAAGCUGACUAAAAGAUAAAAAUGAAAUUACAGGACACUAACUUGAUACACUUUAAACCACAUGGUACUAAAAUGAGAAAGUACGAAACUAAGGGGUGGUAUUUGAAGUUUACCCUAUAUUAUUAACGACUAAAUAAAUUAAUUUAUUAAUGAGAACGAAGUUGUGCAGUAACUAAUGAAUGUCCAAUUAUAAUGAAUAUUAAUAAAAAACCGUCCUUUUCAAUCUAAUUCAGAUCAAAAUAAACUGCGUAUCCAUAAAAUGAAGUCUAUUUGACGUGUCUUCACCCGCUGAUAUUUCAAACAUUUUGACUCUCUGUAUCUAAAAUGGUAGACAACAAAAAUAAGCACAACGUUUAGUAAAAAAUUUACUUUAAAGAAUAAAUAAUAAUUUGAAAUUUGAAAUUAAAACAAUUAUACUUCGGAGCAUCUCCGCUCGGUUGCUCUGAUCACGAGAGCUAUAAUUACAUGUUGUUUCUCUUCGGAAACCCCAUACAGAAUAAAUUUAUGCUGUUUAUAGAAAAGUAGAUAAUAGAUCAUUGUAAUAAUAAAUAAUAAUAAUGUGUAAGAGUAAAUAAAUCACAACAAGUAAUAAAUAAUCAUAAAAUUUACUUGCGUGUACUAGUAUCUAGUAAACAAAAUAGAUAAUAUAUUAUGUCUCAGCCCUACAUGGAUCUGUAUAUUUUCUACCGUUUAUAGAAAAGUAGCUUUUUACUUGUCCUUGUUAGUGCUAAAAAAAUCUUCACAUUAUAAGAUUGUAGUUUCAGAGGAGUUCCAGAAACUAGAACGAUGCAAAGCCAAAAUAAGAUAAUUUUUCAAGCAAACCCUUCUACUUUUAAAUAUUUUGCCAAAUAGGAAUAAUCUUAAAAAAAGAAGAGUCGACUUCUACUUUUAAAUAUUUUGCCAAUUAGGAAUAAUUAGGGGUGUAAAACGGGCCGGGCGGCCCGUGGCCCGCCCCGCCCGGCACGGCUGCGGGCCGGGCCGUGGCCCGGCACGACCACUGUAGCACCCGGGUCGUGCCGGGCCCGGCAGGCACUUCGGGCCGUGCUGGGCCUCACAUUUGGAGCCCGACGGCCCGGCACGGCACGGCCCGAAACGGGCCUGGACCGUGCCGGGCCGAGGAGAGCGGUGGCCCGCACGGCACGGCCGAUUGGGCUGUGCCAGCCGGGCAGCACAGCCCGGAACCCAGGCCCAAGGCAGGAGAUUCCCAAGGUCUGCCUUUUGGUCCAAUGGACCAAAAACCCAUCUCAAAUUUAUUUUAUUUUUUAAUAAAACAAUAUAUAAAUAAAUUUAAAUAUUUAUUAUUUUAUAAUUAUUUUUAUAAAUUUAAAUUUUAAGUUAAAUAUCAGUUUAAAUAAAAUUAUUUAUUGUUUAUAUUUUUGUAGAUUAUAUAUAUUUUUUAAAAAAAAUUAAAAAGGGGCCGGCCCGAAGCACUGCCGGCCCGGCACAGCCGUGCCUUCCGGGCAGGGGCCGUGCCUGGCCGAAGGGUAGGAGUUCGGCCGGCACGGCCCGGCCCGGAUUAGUUACGGGCCGGCCGGGCCAGGCCCUAGCCCGUUUCGACUCGGAAAAUGUGGGCUAUGCCGGCCCGCAAGCCCACAUUACACCCCUAGGAAUAAUCUUAAAAAAAGAUGAGUCGACUAUAAAUAUAUAUAUAUAUAUAUAUAUAUAUAUAUAUAUAUAUAUAUAUAGUCCGGCUAUGGUGCUUGUAAAAGUACAAAGCUCUUGGUGCUUGUAAAUUUUUUACCGUUAGAUUUACUCUUUGGAUCAUUUUCAUCUGUUAGAUUAUACUAUUCAACCAACCACCCACUCAACUCUAAGGGUUCCACAUCAUCCUAACCACAUAUCUCUUAGUCCUAACCACACACAUACACAUAUAUACAUACAUAUAUAUACAUGAAUUGAGCUGGAAUACUUCUAAAAGUAGUAAGGGGUAGGCGUUUUUAUGUUUGUAGCCCUUUGAUGGAGUUGUUGUAGGACUGGGAUGAUAGAAGCCCACUAGGGUUUAGUGGUGGUAGAUGGAAUAGUGUUUGAUGUAGAGGCUAGAAAUGGUCUAAGGAUUAAUCCAAUGGUAGAAAACUUUAAAAGCACCAAGGUGUUGUUGUUUUUAGAUGUAUUCUAGCUUCUCUCUCUCUCUCUCUCUAUAUAUAUCUAUACAUUUAUAUAUGCAUAUACAUAUACAUAUAGAAUUAGAUUGGAAUACUAUCAAUAGUACGAAGCUAUCGGUGCUAUUAGGUUUUCGACCCUUGGAUGAAGAAAUGUACGGUUAGGAUGAUGUGGGCUCUCUUGGGUUGAGUAAAUUGUUGGUUGAAUAGUAUAAUCUAAUAGGUGAAAAUAGUCAAAGGGUUAAAUCUAACGGUGGAAAACUCGAUAGCUCCAAGUGCUUGGUGCUAUCAAUAGUAUCCCAGCAAGACUCUAUACAUAUAUAUAAUUGGGCUGGAAUACUAUUAAUAGUAUUCCAGCACUUUUACUACCCAGUAUUUAACCAUUGGAUGAAAAAUUGUAUGAUUAGGAUGAUAGUGGUCCCCUAUAGUUUAGUGGUGGUCCCUCUAGAGUUGAGUGGGCGAUUGGUUGAAUAGUAUGAUCUAAAGGGUGGAAUUGAUUAAAGUAUAGAUCUAACAGCUAAAAAGUCGAUAGCAAAAGAGUCCAAACACUAUUCCAGCUCAACUCUCUCUCUUUCUCUCUCUAUAUAUGUAGAAAGAGAGUUGAGCUAGAAUGCUACGAGUAGCAAACGGGCUUCGUUGCGACCCAUUUAUUUUCGAUGAUGGAGUCUCCAAAUCAACGAUCGACACUGUCGAACAUGAUCUAUGCCACUUGAAAUAUUUAGAAAUUAAAUUUCAGGCAUUUUCGAUAUUAUUUUUUUAUUCAUCAAGUGGACACAAAAAUGGACGGCUAAUUAAAAAUGAAUAAUCUUUAAAAAGUGAUGAUAAGAGUCUUGUAAUCAAAAUCAAAAGUAUAGAUCUCGUUUUAAAUAGCUUAAAAAAUUUUCUAACAAAAAUUCAAUUGAUUUGGAUAUCUUUACGCCGUUAAGCGAGAAAACGUCUCAUAUCAACUGCAAAAAUUUUAAAUUUUGAAACCCUUUGAUUAUUAGGCAAAUGAUGUCAAAAAGAUUUGGAAUUUAAUUUCUAAACACUUCAAGUGAUAUAGAUCAUAUUCAGCGGAGCCGGCGGUCGAUUUGGAGGCUCCAUCAUCAAAAACAAAUCGGUGGCAGGAGCCCGUUUGCUACCGAUAGCAUUCCAGCUCAUCUCUCUCUCUCUCUCUCUCUCUCUCUCUCUGUAUAUAAAAUACAAGUUGGGCUUAAAUUAUUAAUCUCAAUUUAUUUAGGGAGGGUACUUUGAGAGGCAAGCUAAUGGACUGGGCCCAGAGAAAGAAAAAAGUUACUUUGGACCUUGUGGUCCACCUGGCCCAUCAUGAGGAUAAUAUGGGAUCUUCAUUAUUUAUAUUUUAAUUCUUUUUUUUUUAGAUUUUCUCUUGUUGGGGUAGGCCUAGGGAUGUCAAUGGGUCUGGGAUACCCGAAAUAUUAUCUGAAUCCGAACCCGAAUGGGCCGGGUUUAUCCGAGCUAAACGGAUAUGGAUUCAGUUAUUGUUAUAGAAAAUAAAAACCCGACGGAUAUGGAUACGGGUAUGGAUUUUGUAUUUACCCUACCCGAACCCAAAUCUGAAUAAAUUAUAACAUUUUGAUAUCUAGAUAUUGUAUUAGAUAUUUAAAGAAUAUAUUGUUGUCUUUAAGUAUUUGAAUUUGUGCUUUUCUUAUUCAGAUUUUGAUAUUGUAUGGCAUGAAUGUUUUAAUGUUGUAUUUGAUUGUGUUUUAAAAAUUUUAUUUUGAAAAUUUUGAUUUUACUAUAAUAUAUUUUGAAAUAUGAUAAAGAGAAAUUAUUAUUUUGGGUUCGGGUUCGGGUUCGGGUUCGUGUUCGGAUUUCGGGUUUUUAGUCGGGCUCGUAUAUGGGUAUGGAUUUUUAAAACCCGCCGGGUUCGGAUCCGGGUUUUGGGUUCGGGUUUUUGAAAACCCGGCCUAAACCCGAUUGGUCCCUUGCAAUGAGCUUAGUUGGAUUUCUCUGUCACGCAUAUAAUCCUAAUAAAACAUUGGAAAUUAAGCUUGUUAAGUGAACUAAUAUUGGCUUAGUCAAAGCCGCAAUGUGGAGACAUGUAUCUGAUUGGUAGUACAGUUGGUAAAGAUUUUACUUUCGUACGAAUGGUUUAAUUCAGAAAUAUUUCUAAAAAUUUAGUAUAGAAAAGAUGGUGCGUAAAAAAUCUAUAAAUUAUUUAUACUUACACCUCUUUUCCCUUUUUUUUUUCUUUUUUUUUUUUUUCUUUCUUUCUUUUUGUGAUUGAAGUUUAGAGGAGUAUAGUUUGAUUAUCUCUUUGUUUGUUUUGGGUGAAUUUGGUUUGGGGGAUAAAAAUGGGAUUUUGUGAGAGGGGGUUUUAACUUUAACUUUUAAGUGCUGCAGGGAAAAAAAGAAAAAGAAAGAAGAAGAAGCUUCUAGAGUUCCAGAAUCUCCUGGUGGCUCUCUUUUAGGCUGAUUUAGUGGUGGGUUUGGGAGAAAGAUGAGAUCUUGUGAGCAUCUGCUCUGAUCAAUCUGCACUGCUCUGCAGUAAAAGUUGGAUCUUGGAAGGAAAAGAGUUGUCAAAUUAUUUAUUGAGGGAAGCAUUUGAUUGCCAAACUCAGGAAGGGAGAUUUUGCAUUGCAAUCUUCUGGUGGUGGUUUUGUAUCAUCCAGCUAGGGUUUUUUUUUUUUUUUUUUUUUUUUUUUUUUUUUUUUUUUUUUUUNNNNNNNNNNNNNNNNNNNNNNNNNNNNNNNNNNNNNNNNNNNNNNNNNNNNNNNNNNNNNNNNNNNNNNNNNNNNNNNNNNNNNNNNNNNNNNNNNNNNNNNNNNNNNNNNNNNNNNNNNNNNNNNNNNNNNNNNNNNNNNNNNNNNNNNNNNNNNNNNNNNNNNNNNNNNNNNNNNNNNNNNNNNNNNNNNNNNNNNNNNNNNNNNNNNNNNNNNNNNNNNNNNNNNNNNNNNNNNNNNNNNNNNNNNNNNNNNNNNNNNNNNNNNNNNNNNNNNNNNNNNNNNNNNNNNNNNNNNNNNNNNNNNNNNNNNNNNNNNNNNNNNNNNNNNNNNNNNNNNNNNNNNNNNNNNNNNNNNNNNNNNNNNNNNNNNNNNNNNNNNNNNNNNNNNNNNNNNNNNNNNNNNNNNNNNNNNNNNNNNNNNNNNNNNNNNNNNNNNNNNNNNNNNNNNNNNNNNNNNNNNNNNNNNNNNNNNNNNNNNNNNNNNNNNNNNNNNNNNNNNNNNNNNNNNNNNNNNNNNNNNNNNNNNNNNNNNNNNNNNNNNNNNNNNNNNNNNNNNNNNNNNNNNNNNNNNNNNNNNNNNNNNNNNNNNNNNNNNNNNNNNNNNNNNNNNNNNNNNNNNNNNNNNNNNNNNNNNNNNNNNNNNNNNNNNNNNNNNNNNNNNNNNNNNNNNNNNNNNNNNNNNNNNNNNNNNNNNNNNNNNNNNNNNNNNNNNNNNNNNNNNNNNNNNNNNNNNNNNNNNNNNNNNNNNNNNNNNNNNNNNNNNNNNNNNNNNNNNNNNNNNNNNNNNNNNNNNNNNNNNNNNNNNNNNNNNNNNNNNNNNNNNNNNNNNNNNNNNNNNNNNNNNNNNNNNNNNNNNNNNNNNNNNNNNNNNNNNNNNNNNNNNNNNNNNNNNNNNNNNNNNNNNNNNNNNNNNNNNNNNNNNNNNNNNNNNNNNNNNNNNNNNNNNNNNNNNNNNNNNNNNNNNNNNNNNNNNNNNNNNNNNNNNNNNNNNNNNNNNNNNNNNNNNNNNNNNNNNNNNNNNNNNNNNNNNNNNNNNNNNNNNNNNNNNNNNNNNNNNNNNNNNNNNNNNNNNNNNNNNNNNNNNNNNNNNNNNNNNNNNNNNNNNNNNNNNNNNNNNNNUUUCACACUUUUUCAUUUUAGUACCCUGUGGUUUGAAGUGUAUCAAGUUAGUACCCUGUGGUUUCUCACUUUAUCACUUUAGUACCCUGUGGUUUAAAAUGUAUCAAGCUAGUACCCUGUGGUUUUGCACUUUAUCACUUUAGUACCCUGUGGUUUCACACUUUAUCACUUUAGUACCUUGUGAUUUAAAAAACUAUAGGGUAUUAACUUGAUACAAAAUUAAAACUACAGGGUACUAAAGUGAUAAAGUGCAAAACCACAGGGUACUAACUUGAUACACUUUAAACCACAGGGUACUUAAGUGAUAAAGUGAGAAACCACGGGGUACUAACUUGAUACAUUUUAAACCACAGGGUAUUAAAGUGAAAAAAAUUGAAACCACAAGGGGGGUUUUUGAAGUUUUCCCUUGUUUCAAUAGAAAAUGCAUAUUUUUUGAUGGUCAACAGUCAACUUGUGCCAUAAUACGAGUCAAAUGGGAGUGUUCAAUUUACUCAUUUUAAACCUUAAAGGAUCAAAGUGUUUUGAUUAUUAUAUUUCUCAAGCGCUUAUACGUAAUCGUUCUGUUAAAUGGAAUGGUAUUGUUAACGGUACUAGUUUUGAUAUUAAUAGAUAGAUUCAUUAAAUUAAAAUUAGAUACGAUCUGUCUAAUCUGCUCAUGACAGAAAUAACUAUGAAUAUUAUAUCACUUUUUUUUUUUUGUGAAUUAUGGAAUUAAAGUUUAUGGUGUUUGUUGUUCUGCAGGUGAUGUUUGAUCACAGAAAGGAGAGGAGGGAGCUGCUGGAGGGGUUGGUGAUCAGCAAUAGAGAUGCAAGAAUCCCAUCAUUCCAACAGGUAAAAGAGGGGGAAAAAUUUAAAAAAAAAAUAAAAAAAUUAUUAUAUAAAUAAAUAUUGAAAAAUGAUGGGCUUUACUGGUCCCACUAUUUUUUUUUUUCAUUUUUAAGCGGAAAAAAAUCUUAAUANUUGUGGCUUAAAAAGUGAACAAGCUAGAGACCGUUAGAGCACUGAAAAGGACUUUUUUUUUUUUUUUUUUCCUUCUCUUAAAAAAUCUAAAAAGUUAACUUUUUUUUUAAGGAAAAAAAAAAGAGAAAAGGACAUAAAAAAGGGUGGUUACAACAAUCCAAGCUAACACACCAACACCAACAAUGGUCUUGAUAGGUGAGGAGUUGAUGGACCAAUGAAACAUUGACUAAGACACAAAUUAAACAAGUAUACAAAUUAAUAUAUAAGAUCCUUUAAAUGGGCCCCACAUGACCCCCACACCAAAAUGAACCAAUCGUUGAGCGCCACAUCAUCGAUCGCGCCAUAUCUACUCUCCAAAGUGUACACAGCAACACUCUCUUAUUUAUAGUGUUAGCCAAGAAGUGUUACUCCAAGACAAGCAUAGAGAGUGUUGUUUUACUGCUUAGAGAGAAAGAGAGAGAGAUCUAGAGAGAAAGAGAGAGAGAGAGAAUGGUGAACAUAAUCGAGGGGCAGAAACCUCUCUUACACACCCUAGUGAGGAUGGCGGGGCUCCGACCGGUGCUCGUCGAGCUCGAGCCGGGCACCGUCAUGCACUUUUGGGCGCCCAAACACCGCCUUCCGUCGCAGAAGAAGACUAGUGCGGCCGCGAUCACUGUCGACAAAUCUACCCCGGUGGAUGUUCCAGAAUCCAACACUACUAUUGCCAACACAACAGCGGCCUUAUCUAGGCCCAGUAAGAACAGGGCCCGUAGAAUUUGGCCCAGUAGGAAUCGGCCCAAGCCCGCGAUCGUCCUCGUCCACGGCUUUGCGUCCGAGGGGAUCGUCACUUGGCAGUUCCAGUUCGGCGUGCUGGUCUCAGAUUACGACGUGUACAUCCCUGAUCUGUUCUUUUUCGGUAAGUCGACGACCGUCCAGCCCGACCGGUCGCCAGAAUUCCAGGCCGGGUGCGUCGCCAGGGCACUUGACAUGCUCGGAGUGGAACGGUGUCACGUCGUAGGGUUCAGCUACGGAGGGAUGGUGGCGUUUAAGUUGGCGGAGGCCCGACCGAGCCUGGUCCGGUCGUUGGUCGUGACCGGUUCGGUCAUUACGAUGACCGAUUCGAUAAACGAGGCCAGUUUGACGCGGCUCGGGGCCGCCUCGUCGGCGGACCUCCUCUUACCGGAGACCCUUGAGAGGCUCAAGGCGCUUCUGAAGAUGUCCAUGUACAAGAAGUUGUGGUUUCCCGACCGGUUCUAUAAAGAUUAUCUCGAGGUUUGUAGUAAUAAUUAGUUUUAUUCGGGGCUUUUGUUUAUGUACCUUUUACUAUUGCUCAAAAUUUUUAAAUAUAUCUUGAAAUUACCAAAAUACUCUUAUAAAUAAAUUUUUAAAGAUAAUCAAGGAUAGUUGGUCCUCCAAAAAUAAAAAAGAUACUUUUGAAGUUUUGAAGAUUAUUAGAUAUUAUCAUUUAUUAGAUAUAUAGGAUGAGUUAACAACAUAUUCCCAAAUAAUAAUAUAAUUAAUUUUUCUUGUCUAAAAUUGAUUUUAGCGUAUUUAUAAAUCCUCCUAAAUUAUAGUCAUUCAACAUGUUUAGUGCUAGUUGGCCUUUUUUUUUUUUGGAAAAAAAAACCUUUGUUUUUAAAUUAAUUAUAAUAGUUGUUUCAAGGGAAAACUUCAAAAACCCCCCCUGUGGUUUCACACUUUUUCAUUUUAGUACCCUGUGGUUUGAAGUGUAUCAAGUUAGUACCCUGUGGUUUCUCACUUUAUCACUUUAGUAUCCUGUGGUUUAAAAUGUAUCAAGCUAGUACCCUGUGGUUUUGCACUUUAUCACUUUAGUACCCUGUGGUUUCACACUUUAUCACUUUAGUACCUUGUGAUUUAAAAAACUAUAGGGUAUUAACUUGAUACAAAAUUAAAACUACAGGGUACUAAAGUGAUAAAGUGCAAAACCACAGGGUACUAACUUGAUACACUUUAAACCACAGGGUACUUAAGUGAUAAAGUGAGAAACCACGGGGUACUAACUUGAUACAUUUUAAACNAUAUUGAAAAGUGAAAUAAGGAGUAAGGAUAUCAAUAGGUAUGGAUAUCCGAAAUAUUAUCCGAAUUCAAACCCGAAUAAAUUAUAUAUAUAUACAUAAUUUAUUUUUGUUUAUUUAUACAAUAUAUAAAAUAUUUAAUAAUUUUUAUUUCUUAGAUCUUCAUUCAACGGUAUAGUUUUUAAAAUCUGCUGGGUUGGAUGAAGAUCUAAGGAAUAAAAAUUAUUAAAUAUUUUAUAUAUUGUAUAAAUAAACAAAAAUAAAUUAUGUAUAUAUAUAUAAUUUAUUCGGGUUUGAAUUCGGAUAAUAUUUCGGAUAUCCAUACCUAUUGAUAUCCUUACUCCUUAUUUCACUUUUCAAUAUACAAAAAAUACGUAACAAAAAAUACGUACUAAACACGGUGAACCAUUCACCGUGUUUGAACACGGUAAAUGGUUCACCGUAUUCAACUUAACACACUGGCCCAGCCCUGCCCGCGUGGCGCUGACGUGGCGCCUGCGUGGCAGGUCCGGGACCAUUUUUGCAAAUUAAAUUUUGACAGGACUAUUUUUAAAAUAAAAAUUUCUCAGGGGUCUAAAUGCAAAAAAAGCCCAUAAAUAUUUUAUACUCGUACCGGAACAAAAACUAAAUUUAGAUUUUAAAUUUGGGAAGAAACUGUUUGUUGCACAUAUACCAAAUUACCAAUAAUAAUAAAUUUUAUGACUAUAUUUAUAUUCACACUAUUGUUUUGUCACUUUUUAUUCACCAACAAGGGACUAUUCAUUAUGACACACGCACACACACUUUAAUAGUUAAUAUGAUGCAAGAAUAUAAGAUCAUGUCAUAUUCGAUGAUGGGACACUCGAUUCGAUAAUCCGUAUCAUUAAAUAUAAUAUAAAUCUUACCAACUUUCCAAAAAUCAAAUUUCGUAAUUUUUCCAACGCUCCUUAUCUCUUGGUCAAGUAGUUUUAAAAUUAAUGAAUUUCAAAAGUAUAUGUAAGGUACGUAUUUACAGAUAGUUGAUCACUUAAUAAAUAAUAUUGAAAAAUCAUAAAAUCUGGUUGGCUGAAAAAUUUAACAGACGUAGCUAAUAUUCAAUAAUGUCGAUCGUCGAUUUUCAGAUGUCAUCGCGGAAAACGAAUAGAAAAUUUUAAGAAAUGAGUACUUCUGACUUAUUAUAUAUUUUCUUUUUUCUUUUUCUUUUUUUUAUUUUUAUGUCAGGCAAUUAGGAGAAAACACUUCAUUGGUUGGAAUAAGCAAAGCUGGUCAUCUCCUCCACAUGGAACGCCCCUGCGCAUUCAAUCGCUAUCUCAAGAGAUUCCUCUCUUAUGUUGAUUCUCAUCAUGAUGAUGAUAAUAAUAAUAAUAAUAAUAAUGAUAAUAAUAAUAAUGAUAAUGAUAAUGCUUAUUAGCUACUAUAUAAUCCCAUUUAUAAACACUCUCUCAGGGUCUCUACUACUUCAGGCUUCAAAACUAGGUAAGUACAAUUUAUUUUUUAUAAUCGAGAAAUAUUUCAAAUCUCUUUGAAUGUUAUCUUUAUAAAGUGUUGAUAUAUUGAUAGAUAUAUAUGAUAUUCUUAAGCUGCAUACGAUAACUAAUUAUAGGAUUUCGAGUAAUAUAUGUCAACACAUCAAUAACGUAUAAAAGUAACAUUCUAAAAGAUUUGUUGUAUUUUUCUGCGCAUUAUUAUCCCCUUUAUAUGAGUUAAAAAGAAAGGCAAAGUGAUUAGUUAAGAUUGUUGUAUUGGGUUAUUGGGUGGAAUAUUUGUUCAAUUGGGUAUUUAUGUAUUUGUAUUCCUUAAUUUGUAUGUAUGAUUUGGCUUGUGAAUGUAGUCCCCAAAAAAUAUUUAUCAAUGAGUAGCUAUUUUGAAAUUGAUCCACCAACUAUAUUUUCACUUUUUUUUAAAAUUUUUUUUUGUUGAAUUAGCACUCUCGUGAUUUGGAUUAACACAUUCAAUUCGCAAUUUCGGAUAAAAACACUUUUUUCAUUAGUAAGUAGAUUCAGAAUUAAGUGUUACGAACACUAAUAUGAAAUAUGGAAUAUGGAAUAAGACACGACUCGAACAUGGCGACUCGGCAGCUUUCAAAAAAUCAGAACACGAAUACGGUAUGAACACCGCUAAUAAAAUAUAAUAUUAUUAAUAUAAUAAUAUAAUAUUUUAUUAUAUAUAAAAUAUUGUUAUAUUUCUUAUACGAUUAAAAGUUAAUAAAAUUUUCAUUAAUUGUUGAUAUAUUUUAAGAUAGAAAUUCUCCACUAUAUAUAAUUUAUUUAUAAUGUCCAAAAAAAUUUUGUAUGCAUUUAUAAAAAGCUAAAAUAUUUAUUAUCUUACAUUAUAUAUACAUAAAAUNUAUAUAUAUAUAUAUAUAAUUGUAUGCAUUAUGGAUCAGCAUCGAACACGCGUUCAGAAAAUAUCUACAUCGGACACGUGUCUGACACAGAGACGUGCGUGUCCGACAUUGACACAUGAUGUUUAUAGAAAUGUCAGUGAUACAUAGACCCAGAAUCAGAAGUCCAUGAUGCAAAAACAGAACAUAGACAAACUACUUACCAGUUAAAAUACAAAUGAAGUAGAUAGAAUCUGUUAAGAGAUUAUUUAAAUCAGUAACAAGAGCACUAAACUCCACCACCACAAAAAAUAAAAUAAAAUAAAAUAAAAUCACAUGAAUUAAAUAUUUUUAUCAAGACCAUUGGACAACUUUUACAUCCAUCCAAUUCUAAUUAACAGUUUUAAAACUGAAUAGAAAAGAAAACAAGAACAACUCUUCAUGCUGCUCCUGUUGGUCGAAAAAACAGCGGCCCCUCGACGCUACCGAAUCUCUUCAAAACCAUUCUAACUCUCCUCCAAAGCUAAAACAACAUCGGUUAUGAAAAAGCAUUCGCAAAAACCGGUUGCUGAAAAAGCUUCAGCUUCCCCCUGAGGCAGAAGCAUCCUCUUUUUCUGCUGCGAUAUUUCCCGCACCCUCGUUCGACAGUUUGAUGCGCUGGUAAUGCUCUGCCACCUUAUAAUCGACUACUUCUCUAAACAGCUGCGAAUCCAACACGCAGUCCGGGCGGCCGUACACCGCCGCUUGCACACUCGCCAUCAGCUUCGCAAUCUCUCUCCCCGAAAAGCCCUCGGUCUUCUUAGCUGCCUCCAAAAGCACUUCGUCGCUUAUAUCCUUGACCACUAUUUUCUGCGGCUGCCUCUUGAACAAUGAUCUCCACGGCGGUGAGGAUUCAUUGCUGUUAUUUUCUUGUAACAUGUAUUUGUUUAGGUAGAGUUUGAGGAGUUUGAAUCUUUCCUCUUCUCCGGGGAGCGGGAAUUCGAUCACUUCGUCGAUUCGGUCGGUUACAGCGGCGUCGAGAUCGCCCGGCCGGUUUGUUGCGAGGACGAGAAUGAUGUCCCGCGAUUGGUCACCGGUCCGGAAGAGCAGUGCGUUGAGAGCGCUCCGCUGGGCCUCGCUCAUGUAUGUGCUAUUACGCCUGAUCAAUAAGGAGACGAUUUCAAGAUAUUAACCAUAGACCAGCAAAGCAGGAUUAGCAUAAAAAGUUUUUUUUGGCUAAGAUCUAAAUUAGGAAACUAAGGGCCUGUUUAGGUUGGUUGGAGCAAAUAGAUCUGCUCGAAGAAGCACUAACCACUCUUUUACUAAUCCACCCAAAAACUUUUUGUUUUGGUGGCAAUAGAAGCUUCAUAUUGGAGCUUCUGCUUUUGGAGCUCAGAAUGUCAAAUGCUCAAGAAAAUAUAUGGCUUCAUUUUGCCACUAAGUACUCAAGGGGUACCGACAAGAUAAUUGAGCUAUGAUUAGAUUGUAGCAUGGGAGUGCCAAGUUGCCGACUUACUCGCACAAAAAGGCAUCAGCUUCGUCAAUGAAGAGCAGCAAGCCAUUUUUGGAUUUCUUAGCCCAAUCAAAUAUAUCAUGAAUCUUGGUCACGGCCUGCGAUCCCAGAGGUGCAACAUCGCCUCCUGUCAUCAUCGCAUAAUCCAGGCCCUGUGAUGUAAAUCACUCAGAUGACCGAAUUUUUCACUCUAAACUUCUCACAAUGUUCUACAAAUAGAAAAUUAGUGGAUAAUAUUUUGGUAAAAACGUACAGAACUUACCUGAACCAUGAACUAUUUUGAGUUGACUACCCAACCUUUCAAAAUUUUUAUUUUACUACCCAACAUUGCAACUUGCUUGAUUUGAGUCAGUCAAUGGCACUUUGGUUUUAAAAUUUGAAUAUGUCAUUUAUUUUUACAGGUUUAGUUAGUAUAUUUCAUAUAGUUCUUGCAACUAUAAAUUCAUUUAAUACUUAGCUUAAAAAUUUUAAAGUUAAAGUAUCAUUGACUGACUCAAAUUAAACAAAUUGAAAAGUUGGAUAAUAAAAUCAAAAGUUUGAAAGGUUGGAUAGAUGAUUCUACAUGGUCCAUAGUUCAGGUGAGUUCUGCACGUUUUUAUCUAAUAUUUUUUUAGUGUAGUUGCAUAAGCUAUGAAAAACCAUUGAUAGACAGCAAAAUUCACGCAGAAUAACUGGAAACAAACCGCUCGUUUUACAAGCAAAAAGAAACAUUUUUCUCAUCAAAUCUGCACAAGAACCUUGCAGAAAAUACAAAGAAAAGUGCAAGAAGGAGAUAUAGAAUUCAAACUUUACCGACUUGCGAGCCAUCUCCCUUGCCACCAAGGUUUUGCCAGUCCCUGGAGGUCCAUAGAACAGCAUGUUCCGAAAUGGCGCAUCGUGCGACUUAGUAUUCGCCGUAGCCCGCGCGAGCUGCUCAAUCCUCCUCUUCAAUGAAGGGUGAAGAAUGAUAUUCUCAAAGCUACUCCCGCUUUCCGAAGCUGCCCCAGAGCUAGAUGCCAAGGAUUUCUUAGUGAUCCGCGAAAUCAGGCCCGAAAAUGGAAACUUGGCCAUUGAGGACUCGCGAAUCAGUGAAGGUUGGCCCAGAAUUCUGUUGAUGUAUCCCCACAUAACCCUAGCACCUUCCCUGUAUAAGAUUUAGUCACGAAAUUGAUUAUUUAAGUUUGGCCAGCAUUUCAAUUUCGUCCUCAGAGUUUCAACUCUAACCCAAAAGUUUGAGGUCGAUUGCAAUUUAGUCCCUAAAGUUUGACCUCGGUUUCAAUUCUAUCCUCAAAGCUUCAACCUUAACAAAGGAAGUCUUAGGGCCCAUUUGGGAUUGACGGCCAUGGAGUUAGGGUAAAAGCAUAUAGAGAUAUGCAUUUCCGUUUUUUCAUGGCCUGUAGAAAAUAUAUUAUAACCAACUCACUACAAUAAGUGCAACUUGAUAUUGCAUACGAAAACAAGCAAGAUAUUUUUCCAUCGUGCUUUCUCACCGCAUGUAACACAAUUUUCCUACAAUCCGAAAUGGAACCUUAGAAGGGGCUGAGCUUGAAUAAUUUUUCUUUUUUUCAUGCAUUAAACUAAAGGAAAGAGUUAACUGUUAUGCAGAAUAAUUUCAGUGACUAAAUCGUACAAUUGAUAUCAUGAGGAUGUAUUUUAAAUUCAGAAAUAUUUCCCAAGGAACAAGAUUUGAAAAAGAAUUAUAGACUUUCAUCUAAAAAGCACAAAUUCAAAUACAGAGAAGCAGUAAAAAAAAAAAAAAUAAGUAAAAUGACAUUCUGAGCGAACCUAGUAGUGUAAACACCGGCAGCGAGUGCAGUAACUCCCCCAACAGCCAUUGCUAACUUAGUCCGAUCAGUCAUUAACGUCCUAACACCACCUGCAGAUUCAGAACAAGAAACAAAUCUCAGCAUCUAAAUUCAAGUUAGAUUAUAAAUAUGUGAAAUACCUAUUAGUUCUCGAUCUCAAAACUACCGAGAAUGACUUGAAAGUACAGUUCAAGGCACUUAAUUGUAGAAUUUCACAAUAAACUCGAUGAAAGAAGGAAGCAGAUAUUUUAUAAAUCAAAAAGGAUAUGAAAACAUCCAGUUAAUCAAAUUGUACAGAGAACAAUGUUUUCACUACUUCUGAAGUCAAAUUGAUAUAAUCAAAGCAAUAACAUUUGUCAAGUUUCUUAACAAAAAUAAGGCAAAAAAAAGAAGAGACACCAAUUGAGAAGUAACGAAAAACAGAAUAAUGAUUAACUCUAGACUAUACAGAAAAUGAGAACAAUUACAUCUUUUGAUGAUUAAGAAUUUGAACUGAGACAGUUCAAAAUUUAGGGGAAAAAGGUUCAAAUGUCCAUUUGAAAGAUAAAAACAUCCAACAUUAUGGUAUCAGACUUAAUAAAAAAAAACAAAAAGAAAAGAAAAGAUGAAAGUAAUUCUCAUCCAAUUGGACUCCAAGAAUUUAAAAUAAGGAUGCUUGUAGCAAAUUAGAGAUAGCCAUGUCAGCUUUAGCAAACAACACCUUCUAUAUGGUUAAAUGUUGCAUUUAUGGCGGCAAUCCACUUCUCUCUCUCGCCAUGCAUGCGCUCCAAAAGCAUUCUCUUAUUAUGCUCUUCAGUCAGUUUUGCUUCAUGAGCACGACCCUCAGCUUCCGCCAUAGCUUUGACUCUUAUUGUCUCACGCUCUAUUUCAGCUCUCUCUUUCUCGGUUUGUCUUUGCUGUGCUUGAAUCUGUUCCUCAGUAGCACGCCUAGCUUGUUCCUUUCUAACUGCAGACUCCUCUUGCAUUCUCACGAGUUCUGCGUUCUGUCGCCUCUGAGCUUCAUGUUCUGUCUGCAAAAUGUAUAACACUUGAUAUCUUUAUGAUGAGAAAAUUUACAUACGUGACACUGCAUAAUCUAAAUUUGUACAUCCCAUAAUCCACUUUUAUAAUCCUUCAAAAUUUUAACUUCUACAAAUAUACAGAUGUACUUAGAAAAGUGCAACUCUUUAAUAAACCUUUUCUACUAGAAAACCAACUUCCUCUCCAUGAAUUGGAUGACUCCCCAACUUAAGGAUGUUUUCAUUAAGAAAAAACAACAUUUUUUAGGGGUAUAUGUGAAGAAUCAGGUUUCACAGCGGAAUGCGUGAAUAGGUAAAUUUACAGAUAUAUGACGUAAAACCCACUUAGCUUUUUCUCUAUCAUCGAGUACAAAGGUUGAAGCGAAUGAAAAAAAAAAGUUCUUAUAAAAGAAACUGGGAAAUCAGAUGAGCAGAUUAGAAAGAUGACAAAAAAAAACCUGCAUUCUCUUUCUUGCUAAUUCAUCUUCAUAGCGCGCCAUUUGUGCCUUUGCUUGCGCUUGUUGUUGGACAAUGUUCCUCUGCUCUUCAGCCAGUUUACGUUGCGUUUCCUAGCAAGUGGAAAGCAUUGGCCUAAGAAAACUAUAAAAGCUAAGGGAAUUGAAAAGGCUGGUGCAGCUAAUAAAUAAUUAGGUUGCGGAAACAAAGAGUUUAUUGCUAGUUUGACUAGCAGUAAUUGAGUAGAUAACGGAAUGUGUAACCACCAGUAUAUCUAUUGGAUUCAACUUCAAAGUACAAAUUAUUGAUCAAACAUAAAGAGUUAACUCGAAAUUCCAAAAUGAAAGUACCUCUUCCUUAGAUAGCGAACCAAACGCAAAGGUAUAAGGGGAAUGGCAAAUGGCACAAAAUAUUGUACUAGAUAUUGAUGAAUCAAAUAAAUCUAUCAGGAAAUACUCGUCAGAGAUUAUGUCAAGUUCGAGAAGACGAAACUCGCCAAAAGAACUAGAACAAUUGUUAAGCAACUGCUUGAGGUUUGCUAUCGUAUUCGGAGGGCAAGAGCACUAUCCCAUAUAUCGGUAUCGUAUUCGGAGAGUUAAGUACCUGUACGCUCUGGCUAUCGAGUAGCUUCUCUAUUUGACAAGCGAAAGCUAAGCAUUUGACAAACAAAAACCUAAAAUCUUAGCUCUGGAGGACUUUAGUUAGACUUAUUUAAAAAUGAAUCUUUUAGGGCUUAUUCGAAAAUUUCUACUCAAACAAAACUUAUAGAAAAGCCCCAGUUGGGCCAAAAAAAACCCUCGGCAUCCACAAUAUUAGCUUAAGUAUCAUCUAACAAUCAUGCAAUAUUCUUACGCAAAACCCCCUACUAUACACUCAAAACAAUAAUCAUAAGCUCACACUCAAGACUAUAAUCAUAAUCUUUUAGGGCUUAUUUGAAAAUCUCUACUCAAACAACACUUAUACAGAAGCUCCAGUUGGACCAAAAAAAAAUCCUCGGCAUCCACAAUAUUUGUUAUGUAUUAUUUCUCGAUACGAUCUAACAAUCACCAAACACCCUUAUGCAAAAACCCCUACUAUACACUGAAAACUAUAAUCAACCAUAUCAUACACUACUACAACAAAAGGACAUUGAGCAUGCGGAAAAAUACGAUUUUGAGGAAAGAUAAACAACAAUGUCGACAAAAAAUAAAGAAAAAUGAACAAAAGCUCACGAUUUCAGCUAGAGCUCGGUUGGCGAGAAACUGCGCCUUCUCCGCUGCCAAUUCUUCGAGCCGCGUCUCCUCCUGCUUCCUCAUCACCUCAAACACCUAAAACCACCACGAACACAAGAAAUGAAACACCCAGAUCGCAAAAAAGUGAGUAAGAGGUUCACUGGGGCAUUUGAACAAACACCUGCUUGGCGUGGGGAGAGCUGUUGAUCUUCCGCAGCGCGCUCGCCGCGCGCUCGAGGGACUCGGCGUCGAAGCCUCCCGAGGAGGAGUCGGCGGAGGCGUGGGGUUCGGCGCCGGCUUUAGCGGGCGCCGCCGAAGUCGGAGGACGAGAAGGGGUGGGGGUGAGGAAGGAGAAGGGGCCAUCGGCGUAGGCGCGGUUCGAGAGCGCCGCAACCGCCGCCGCCGCCGCGGCGGUGGCGGCGGCGGUAGCCCGGCGGAGCGGCGGCGGCGGCGGCGGAGGCAUGGGGGUGGUGGUGUUGGUGGAGGAGGACGAGGAGGAGGUGAGGGGCUUUUAGGAAGGGGCUUAGUAUUAUACUCUUUGUUUGUUAAAAAGAGGCAAGUGAAAUUUUUUUACAUAUAGGUUGCUGUAGAAGCACAUAUUUAUAUACUGUAGCCCUCUAAACUUGAUACCCAAGAUUUUUUUUUUUUUUUUUUUUUUUUUUUUUUUUUUCUCUUGUAGAGAAGUUUUCUUGUAGCCUAUCUUUUAGGUCAGCAGUUCGAGCCUCCAUUUUAGCAUAAAUUGGCACUCAGGCCUCAAGUUUAAUAUAUUUGUAAGGUAUAGGACACUGUAGACAAUGCCUAAGAAAAAAAGUGCUUUGGAUUGUCCAAUACAAAUCAUAUUGAAUCACUAAAAAAAGUGCUUUGGAUUGAAUCACUAGAAUGUUUUUACUGAAUAUUGAAGCACAUUUUUAGAGCUAAGAGCUCAGAGAGAGAGAGAGACAGAGAGAGAAUUAUGAAUCUUCUGAAUUUACAAACUGUACAGGCGCGGCAUCAACAAGCCAAACUCACAAAUUAGAUGAUUCAGAAUAUCUGUUCAAUCCACUAAACUCUCUCUCUCUCUCUCUCUCUCUCUCUCUCUCUCUCUCUCUCACACACACACACACACACACACACACACAUAAAAAGGCCUAACAUAGAUGGCAAUGUAAGAUGGAGCAAUACACAGGGAAUGAACAAACAGAACAGCUGCAACAGAUAAUAACCUAAAGAAUCAUCAUAGGAAGAAUAAAUUUACAGUUAAGUAGAAAGAGACAUUGCCCUCCCUAUUUCCAGUAUACAAUAAAAAUCGUCGAUUGUUCGUUGCCACCACAAUAGCUCUUAUAAAAGAAACAAAAAAAAAAAUCGCAAAAUACAUCCAGUUCUUGGAUUUCACAUAAACAGAACAUUUGUAUAUCUAGCAACAUGGAAUUGCAAAGAGGAACAACAACAGUUGCUGAUCGAGUUCGGCAAACCGAAGCAAAGAAAUUAGUUCUACACAGAAAAAGACUAUCUAAGAGUUGGUUUAAAAAUCAUCUUCAUCAUCCAAUUCUUGGUCAUUCGAAGGCCGGAUUCUUUUCCCCUCCCUCAAUGCAAUCCUUCCCCCUUUCUUCGGUUUUCCUCUGAAAAAAAAAAGGGAAAAAAUAAUACGAAAAUGAAUUCUUAUGAUCAUCAUCUCCUAUUCAAAUAAUAAUAAUCUCUGAGACAUUUUGACUUCGUUCCGGGAAUUAUUCCGAGUGAACUCACUGUCCAUUUACUGGAGUGCUUCCUCCUUUCAACCGACCCGGCCCGUACUCGGCUCUUCCAUCUGCAAUCAAUAAACAAUAGAUUAUUAGAGAAAACCAAACUAUCUAAGAUGGAUUGUGAUUCUUCGAUCUUUCCGAUGCAAACUUACCUUCUCGUCCGGCUAAAUGCUCUUCAACCUGGAAAAAUGAGGAGAUGGGCAUUUACAAAUUACCAGGCGAAUGCAAAAAGAAUGCGCUGUUUGUAAGAUGAUAUGACUCCAAUAAUCUGAUUCCUCAAAUAAAAUUCAACUUGAAGCCUAUACCUAACAACAGUGUAAUCGAAUGUGUACUUUUGAAAGAAUUUCAACAUAAACUAAUUAAAGGACAAAAUGACGUAAAGCAAGAAUAAUCUGUAAAUGCAUCACGUUUGAUAAUCAGAAAAGAUGUAAAUUUCAAGGGUUACGUGUGCGAAAAUCUCUAUUACUCAAUAAGUUAUUAUAGUUACAUACUGCUGGAGAGGUAACCGAUGACAAUGAGAAGAGCCUAUCAUCAGGCUGAAACUUCCGGGAGCGCUUGAGGCUGAAGGAAUAAAUUCAAUAAAGUUUAUGUUAUGAUAUGUUAAAUAUCACCCAACACGAUAAUUCAACUUAUUGAGGUUUAAACUGAUAAUAUAAUAAGAUAUAGCAAAUAAUCACUAUCCUAUAUAGUUAAUGAAGGUUGACUCGCCUCGUAAAGAGAGAAUCUUCCUCUAAUAGACCAAAACUAAGGCAUAAUCGGAAUUAGUCGCUAACGAUGGGAAAUAAAGGACUGUUUUGGUUCCUAGGAAAAGCGUAGAAAAAAAUUUCUCCGGAAAAUUUUUUUUCCAUGGAAAACCUCUUUCCAGUUUUCUGCCUGUUUGGCUCUAAAGAAAACAAGCUUUUCUGAAAAACUUUUUCCAGUUCGUUGAAAACUAGUGUUUUUGUUUCCAAAAAAAAAAAAAAAAAAAUCAAAAAACGAAAACGCUAAUUUUCCUCGGAGCCAAACGGGCAAAAAAUUAGAAAAGAAGUUUUCCAUGGAAAACUUCUUUCCAUGCUUUUCCUGGAAACCAAAAAGCCCCUAAAGUAAUUGCACGGAAGUACUCAAAUCCAAAUAAAUAGAAUCAAGUUAAGAGACAAAUUGUAGAGAAGAGGUCUAAACAAGGUUAACUGAAGCAGCUUACUUGGUGGUGCUCUUAGACGAUGACAAAAAUCCUUCGAAACCUUUAAGUACACUUCCAAACUGAUUCGAUUCUUGCAAGUAGGUAGUCUCCAAGUCAUAGACCUUUGAAGCAUGGAGUAGCAAGUGUGAAUGUACUUAGAACAAAAGCUAAUAUUAAAAAAAACGAAAAGAUUAAAAAUAAAAAAGGUGGCGGCAGAGAGAACGUGUAAACUGAAAUUCAAAUUACAAAUUGGAUCCAACUAGGAAACGGGAAAUCAGAGUACCUCUUAUUCGACUAUCUAGUGGAGUUUUGAGUACAUAAAGUAAAAUUAGGGGUCGGGGUCAUCUAUCAGCUUAAGCUUUUGAAGAACAUGGUUUACGGUUCUUUCCCACAUUGAUUCAAAUAGGAAGAAGUUGAACAAGUAAUAAAAAGAACAUACAUAGAAGUGCAAACUAUGUAGUAAGCUACAACAUGACCCAUCUCUUAUCCACUAAUUUCCCAAAAUCUGCAAGAAUCAAACCAGGCGAUUCAACUUACAUCAAAAUUCCACUAGUAAAUUUGCGAAUUGCAAGGGCCUAGGUUUCUACAAAUUCAAUUUUUUGAAGAAAAACAGAUGAUUCGAUCCCUCCCAUACAAGCUAUAAACAAAAUCCUCAUAAAAACACCAUUUUGAUUAAAAACAAAGAUCUAAACCAAAAGAAACAAUCUACAUAUAAUUCUACCGGUAACAAAUGUAGUAGUUUACCAAAUUGCAAGGGUCUAAGCACAAAAAAUUAGAGUUUUUUCAUAGAAAGAAAAAAAAAAAACCCCAUAAUCAAAUCCGUCCCACAUAAAUACACACAAAAUCCCCAAAAGAACACCAUUUUGAUUAAAAAAAAAAUAGAGGUUCCACUACAGAAACUGAAACCAAAAAGGAAUAACCUCCAUAUAAUUCUACAGUACAGGUACCCCAAGUUCUAGAUUUGUAAAUUACAAGGAUUUAAGUGCCUACAAAUCCAAUUUUUCAGAGAAAAACCCAUGAUUCAAUCACUAACAUACAAUUUAUACACAAUAUCCCCCAUAGAUCACCAUUAUGAGUCAAAAAAUAAAGAUUUGAACCGAAAGAACAACCUUUAUACAAUUUUACUAGUGCACAGUUUGUAAAUUUGCACAAUAAAAGGGUCUAAGCACCCAAAAAAAAAUCCAUUUUUUAACAGAAAAAACCCAUGAUUCAAUCCUUCCCACACAAAUUAAACACAAUAUCGCCAUAAGAUCACCAUUUUGAGUACGUGAGAAAGAUUUAAACCAAAAGAAAACAACUUCCGUACAAUUCCACAGGUAUCCAAGUGCUAAAUUUGCAUUUUACAAGGGUUCAAAUGCAAAAAAAAAAGUCCAAUUUUUCGUAGAAAAAAUAAACCCAUGAUUCGACCCAAUCCCUUCCUAUGCAAACAAGAGAUCAAUUAAAAGCAAAAUCAAAAAGGGGAAAAGAAAAUACUUGUCUCUCGAUGCUUCGGAGCUCCUCCUGAAGCUUCGCCCUCUUGCUCACGAGCGCGGCGAGCAUGGCCGAGGGGUUCGACGCCCCCCUGUGCCCUAAAUCCAAUGGCCAUUAGGGCAUCCGAACAACAAAGAAAUUACCAAAAAAAAAUGCAAAAUUCGAAGAAAAAUCGAGAAAAUUUGGGGCGAAAUUUAGAAAACUAGGGUUUUAAAGCGCCACAGUUACCUUCAUCUAUUUCUCCCGCGAGAUUUCGCAUCCGAACCCUUCUACGAGUUCGUAAAUAUGAAAAAAAAACAGAAAAAAAAAAUAGCAAUAGUAUGUGUGUAACUGUGUAUAUGUACCUAUUGGGUAAAUUACACACUAGUCCCCAACAUUUUACCGAACUUUAAUUUGGUCCUCCAACCUUUAAGUUCAACAUAAGCGGCCUCUAAACUCUUAACAAAAGAGUUACACUUUAGUCCUUGUGACUAUUUUAUUCAUCCCACAUUUCAAACCAGCUAUAGCCUAUUGAAUUAUAAAAUUUGUUUGGUAUAAAAAUGGGAUCUCAAAAGUAAAAGGUUACUUUCAUAUAGGUCCCUAUAAAUAUAGUAAAUUACAAAUGUAUCCCUAUAAAGUUUAAUUGUUAUAUGUUGUUUCUGCAACAGUUCCGAUGUUUUCAAAUAUAUCAUUAUCGUUAGAAUCCGUUAAAAGAAAUUAAUUAAUCAUAGAUAAAAUACUUAACCGUAAUUAGUUAAUGAGGUGAAUUAACCUUUGUACCCCUUUUCACAGUUGAGAUUUUUGGAUAGAUAAAUUUGUGAUUGCAAAAAUAUUAUUUUACUUAUAAAAUAAAUAGUAUUUUAAUAGUAACAAAUAAUAUGGAUAUAUUUAAAAAUAUUAGAGCAAACAUGCAGCUAAUAAUUUUCACUCCAAAAUAAGGACUAAAAUAAAAUAUUGUUGAUAGUUUGGGGACUAAAAGAAACCAUUCCCUCUUAUUAAGCUAACUUUGAUAGUUUUAUUAAGAAGAUAUUUUUUUAAAAAAAAAUUUAAGUUUAGAUAUAUUACACAAGCAUAGAAGAUGAUACGUCAAAUCAUUUCAGUGAAAUUUUGCAUUCGAAUUCAAUAAUCAUCUUAAAUUUUUGAACUUAUUCGGCACCUUAUGCGUGCUAAGAAGUUUGAGUUUAGUUCUCGUUCUUAUUACCAUCUAUUGCUAGUUGAUUGGAUCGUUUUCAUGCUUAGUAGCUUGAAUGUAAUUGUAAAUAUGCUGUAAUGUAGUAGCUGCGGAAUAUUUGAGAGUUUUAUAUAUGGCCUAAUUAGACAAGAAAAAUUGCCGCUCCUACCUAUGUUGUUAAUAAAGUUCAGAUUAAGCUAAGUCACAAUCGUGAAACGGAGAUGCACUCGUAAAACGCAGAUGCAAUGUCUGUAAGUUUUAAAUAAAUAAAUUAUUUUUUUCUAAUAGUUUGAUAUUUUGGAAUUGUGAUCAGAGCGGAGAAUCCAACAACUCAAUCAGUGGUAUUAGAGUAUGUCACAAAUUCGAUCUUGAACAAUUUUUAGCAUCAAGCUUAGGAUAAAGGUUAAAGUAAUAUUUCUCCCCAAAAGGUUUGAACUUACGCGAAGAGUGGGAAAUAACUUUUUUUCCUUUAAAUCUUAAGCUGUCAGAGAACUGUAUUUUGAUCUUUUAUAUUAAACACUCCAUUUGGGAUCAAAACUUUAAUUAUCUUUUUUUUAUAAACCUAGGAUAGGAAAUUGAAUUAGAUGGCAUGAAUUAAAUAAGCUCGAAGGUUGGAAAAAAUUGAAUUUAGAAUUUUUUGCCCUGAUGUUAUGAAAAUAAUUAUUUUUCACAAAAGGUGUGUGCAAAAUAAACAUAUGAAAUAAACUCAAAUCUUUCAGGCUAUCAUAAAUAUUAUAUAUGUGUAUGAAAUUUAUUAUAAUUUUAUGUGGCCAACAUAUUUUUUGCUCAUGUAAUAACUAGUGGAGGACAAGUGAACAUCAAUUAUUACAUUUUGUAUAAAAUUGUAGGCUGAAAUAUAAGAAAUAUGUCAAUUUAACUAAUUAGAUUUGUUACAACCUAUUGGCAAAAUUUUCACAGCUUCACAUGAACAAAAAGCCAAAGAACUAUCUAAAGGUAAAGUAUUUAAGUAAAGAGAUUAAGAAAGACACAUAUUACACCCAAUAGAUUUAAUUAUAUUAAGCAGUAAAGAUACCAUCUUAAUUACAUAUGAUCACUCUGAUCAUAUCAAAUAUGGUGAUCUGUGAUAAUAUUACAUGAGAUAAAGUAGAGAAAUACAAAGAUGCUGAGAAGCCAGUUAUGUUUCAUUUUCUUCUUGGAGCAGCUUAUUGUUGUCUUGUUUUCCUUUCCUCUACUAUCUGUCUCUCCAAAGAAGCAAGUACUGGUCCUACUUAGUAUACUAUAUAGCAUACUCUAGCCUUGCUUCAGUAGAAAUUCACGUACCUUAUCCUGAAAGAGAGGACGACGAUAUCGAUUAGAUUUAUACAAAAGAGCAAAAAAAGUACCUUUCUUAGCAAAACACCGAACGGUUACCGUAAAAGAUUGAUUAGUUAGUAUGUAAUAAGAGACGUACUUAUGUGAAGAUUUGGCUCUGAAGUGUGUUUCAUUUGCGUAUAUAGUAGGACGACGAUAUCGAUUAGAUUUAUACAAAAGAGCGAAAAAAGUACCUUUCUUAGCAAAACACCGAACGGUUACUGUAAAAGAUUGAUUAGUUAAUAUGUAAUAAGAGACGUACUUAUGUGAAGAUUUGGCUCUGAAGUGUGUUUCAUUUGCAUAUAUAGCGCACUAUUGUAUCAUUACAAGAAGCAUUGAUUAUGGUGCAUAUGAAAAAUAGGCCAUUUUUAUAUUUGUGAGUCAUGCACCAUGGCAUAUUUUAUGCAUAGGCCCGAAUAAUUGUUUAACGUUAAGCAAACAUCUCAGCAUGGCCCACAAAGCCAUGCAUGCAUGCCAACUCAGGCCUUCCAGGCAUGCAAAACAAAGUUCCUUUUCGGUAGAAAAGUUGUUGUUUGAGAAUUUGCACGAAAAUUAAAGCGUGCACUUUUUCGGCAAGUUUUUUUUUUUUUUUUUUUGGCAAAAAGUUGGUAUAUAUGGUAAACAGUCUAAAUUAUUUUUGCUUUCACUAAAACUAACAAUAAACAUUUUGUUACAUAGAGUAAUAAGAACAAAAUAUUAUAGGGAAUAACUGCUUCUAUCUCUACGCCUUAUAGGCAGUAUUAUCACCUUUAGCAUUAGAAGAGGAGUUAUCAUUCUCCGACUCGAUGCUUUUGAGGUCUUUGAUGAGCAUCUCAUAGUGUCGCUCCACUUCUUCGGCAGUUUUCCCCCCACCAACGGCCCGUGCUAUCUUCUGCCAUCGGUUGGGUGUGCCCUCAUCAUACCUAUCUAACGCAUCCUCAAAUAGCUUGUUCUGCUCUUUGGUCCAUGAAGACAUAUUUCAAGAAGUUGGAAGAAAAAAAAAAGGUAUGGAGAGUUCAAGAAUUGAAUGAGGUGAGGGAGAGAAAGAGAAAAUAAGAAGAAAUAGAGAGAAAGGCAGAUAUGCACAUAAAGUUUGAGUUACCGAUGGCGCUAUUUAUAAUGAGAAGAAGCCAAUUGGCCAAGCGGGGUAGGGAGAGAACGACAAAGUGGAAGAGAAAGAGUAUAAGCAGAAUGACUAACUUGUUUAAGAGCCACAAUUGAAGAGAGAACGAGAAUUUGGCAAUAAGAAUUUUUGUCUAUGUAUGCCAAGUAAGAAAAGUCUAUAUCUACUUAAAGAGAAUCAUCAUCUUCCUAGGCUUAGAGAAGAUAGGAAAGGGUCUAUUCAUCUCUUUUGUCCCCCAUUCUUAUGCCAGUCUUAUUUUUGUUAUGAUUAUAACUAUAUGUUAUGAUUCUCUUCUCAAUCAUAUACUUAAGAGAGUUUAUGGUCCAUGUUCACAACAUUUGAUGAGCACUUUCUCUAAUCAUGUGUCUCAUCUUUAGAACUUUGCUCAAAAAGGAUCUUUGAUAAUUCUCUCCUUUUUAUUUUAUCAUGCCAAUUAAGUUCUCCACAAGUUCUAAAAUGGUCUGCUUUUUAGAUUCCAUGGCACAAGUUGUAGGUUUUAAUGUAAACUUGCACAUUGGAUUCUAAAAGUGUUCUCUUUUAGGUAAUAUAAUAAUCAACAUUAAUUUGUAAGAAAUGUUGGUAAUUAUUCUCUUGUGUAGUCAACAUCCAAUGGAUCCCUUUGCACCAUGGCCUCCUUUAGCUUGUAAUGUCUUAAUCAUGAUCUCAUCAAUAAGAAUAAGAAGUUGCCAUCUUUUUGAACAAGCCUAGUUGGCUUUAUUUAUUUAUUUAUUUAUUUCUUGAGAAAAAGCCAAAUAUAUAUAUAUGUGUGUGUGUGUGUGUGUGUGUGUGUGUGUGUGUGUGAUUCUUACGAUUUAGUUUGGAUAAUACUAACUACACAAAUUAAUUAGAGUUGUUUAUAAAUAUUUCAUAUUUUCAAUGUGCCGAUUGAACACUAUUUACAUUAAUCAACAUAAAUAACUAAAAUUUUGCUCCCCCGAACUAAUUAGAAGAUUAAAGGAGAAGAUGAUAAAGAUUGUUUCCUUAACCUAAUCUAGAGAAAAAAAAAAAGAGUAAAAUGAAAAUAGUGGACCUUCAAGCUACUCGAAUCUUGAGAGAAUGGUUUAAAGACGAUCCCCGACCCGAAUAAAUUAAAUAAAAUUUUAGAAAAGGAUGUGAACAACGGCCCCCAAACUAAACAUCUCAAAACAUCUGGAUCAAGCUCAUGACAUGAAGAACAUACAAGUAGAAAAACUUAUAAAAGAAAGAAAUAAUUCUAUAAAGAAAAUGCCUCUAUACAAUUGCCUCUACAAGUGCCUUUUUUUGUAGUAUAGAAAAUAUUUUCAAAGAGUAAUUCUACAAAGAAGAGAAAAGGAAAGUAGCUUGAGCUUUUAUUUUCUAAAAUUUUCUCCUACUUGUUUCAUUAAGUAGUUGUAUAUGACCUCAUCAAUUAAGAUGACAUCUCCAUUAAAAAUGCAAGCUCAAAUAAUAAAAUAACAAGAUAAUUUCGUGAACCAUUUUGAUUUAGAGAACUCAAAAAAGAUACCCCAAUUACAUUAUGAACUGGAUUGGUGGGGGGGCCGUACGUAUGUUGGAAAGUUUUCAUAGGUCAAUUCAUACACAAUCUAUUCUUAUCACUUUUUUCACCUUUAUUCCUAAGUUGACAUCAAUUAUGAUGGUAUAUGAUUUCUACUAAAAAAAGGAAAAAAAAAAUGGUAAGAUUUUGUUUGUACAAUUUAUGUUAAUUAGUGUGUAAAUGUCAUUUCUGAAUCUUUAUACAGCAGCAUCAUGAAUGAGACAUCAAUUUAAAUUUCUAAAUGUGGUUUUUUUAAUUUUUUGUUUUUACUUUUUAAUGAAUCACAACCAUUAAAAAUAUUCUAUACAAGUUGCACCUUUACUUUGGUUCCAACAAAAAGAGCCCAAGUUGGAUGCUCACCAUUUACGCAGAAUUUCUCGUAGUAUUGUAUAUUGAAAGAAUCAAUAAUUUGAAUCUGAAUCUUUAUACAGUAGCAUCAUGAAUGAGACAUCAAUUUGAAUUUCUAAAUGUGUUUUUUUUUUAUAUUUUGUUUUUAUUUUUUAAGAAUCACAACCACUAAACAUAUUCUAUACAAGUUGCACCUUUACUCUUAUUUCCAACUAAAAAGAGCCCAAGUUGGACACUCGCCAUUUACGCGAAAUUUCUCGUAGUACUGUACAUUGAAAGAAUCAAUAAGCACGCCAAAAACCAUAUAGUUUUUAGUAUCAUUCAUGAGUCAAGUUACAACAAAACUAAAUUCUCAAAUUGCACAAUCAUACAAAAGAAUUUGUGAUAUAACAUAUAACUAGUGAUUUUCGAUAGCUUUUCAUUAGCUAACAUGAAGUUAAUUUUCACAAAACAGUUUCAAAGUGGGCAAAAUUGUCUAUUUUCACAAUUUUUCGCCAAAAACCUCUGAUUCUUUAUACUAUAUGAAUCUUCAGAAGAUCCGGAUGGACGAACUAAAAGGCACUUUCCGCAUUUCAAAUUUGUGAGGGGUUUUGAAUUCGUAAAAUAUGACUAUAACUUUCAAAUAU
Molecule: long non-coding RNA, 29658 nt
Filed under: Ananas comosus (pineapple)
Lineage: Eukaryota; Viridiplantae; Streptophyta; Magnoliopsida; Poales; Bromeliaceae
Description: long non-coding RNA (ACOM_LNC009496)
Source: RNAcentral